This 122-nucleotide small RNA is filed under the name Salmonella enterica. RNAcentral's name for it is "partial RtT sRNA". It matches the Rfam family "RtT RNA", at positions 21 to 130 of the family's 130-position model. From Rfam's summary of the family: This family represents a bacterial cis-regulatory element known as RtT RNA. The exact function of RtT is unknown although it is thought that it may be involved in changing the cellular response in relation to amino acid starvation. RNAcentral also lists the same sequence under 1 other name. Lineage: Bacteria; Pseudomonadati; Pseudomonadota; Gammaproteobacteria; Enterobacterales; Enterobacteriaceae. The record is from RNAcentral.
ACUGCAAAUCUGCCGUCAUCGACUUCAAGGUUCGACUCGAGCAAUAGUGAGAGAACGUUGCCGCAGGCAACGGCCCGAAGGGUGAGGAGCUUUAGCUCCGAAUAAUCCUUCCCGCUAUAGAA